AAUAAAUUAGAUAAAACGCUUACAUUCUGUUUUAAAGGAGCUGAUCAACAUGGGAACGAUUGUAUGCCAGACUUGCAAUUCAACAAUUGAUCAUUUCGAGGAUGAAAAGGUAACAGUCCUUUAUUCAAAAUGCACUUGCGACAAGUGCUCUAGCCACGAAGAUGAAUUAUAAAAACGCUUGAUUGAAUAGCAAAACAGGAUUCCGCCCGGAAUCCUGUUUUUUUAU
This 226-nucleotide small RNA is filed under the name Bacillus sp. B-jedd. RNAcentral describes it as "SR1 sRNA". It matches the Rfam family "SR1 sRNA". The record is from Rfam by way of RNAcentral. Lineage: Bacteria; Bacillati; Bacillota; Bacilli; Caryophanales; Bacillaceae.